RNAcentral lists this long non-coding RNA (230 nucleotides) under Elaeis guineensis (African oil palm). Its description in RNAcentral is "long non-coding RNA (EGUI_LNC081385)". Lineage: Eukaryota; Viridiplantae; Streptophyta; Magnoliopsida; Arecales; Arecaceae. The record is from RNAcentral.
AUGGUCACUAGGUUCGGAAGCCAAAUCGGCCUCAAAAUCCUUGCAUUUCUUGACAGGAUUCUCGAGACUUGCCCCUGAAGAGGUAGACCAUUCUCCGACCGAAUCAAUGGACCCUGCCAUUAAAGAAGUUCAAAAGGAAAGAUCGGGACUCAGAAGCAAAAAGCAAAAGAUCAAAAUAAACAUGAAAAUAAAUGGAUGAAAAAGAACGAUCAAAGAAAACCCACCUCGAU